GACGAACGCUGGCGGCGUGCUUAACACAUGCAAGUCGAACGAAGUGGCGAACGGGUGAGUAAUACGUGAGUAACCUGCCCUCCUUUUUGGGAUAAGCCUUGGCAACGGGGUCUAAUACCGACUAAAGGGGGAUGGGCUCGCGGCCUAUCAGCUUGUUGGUGGGGUGAUGGCCUACCAAGGCGGUGACGGGUAGCCGGCCUGAGGGGGUGACCGGCCACAUUGGGACUGCGCAACGGCCCAGAGUUCUACGGGAGGAAGCAGUGGGGGAUAUUGCACAAGGGGCGAAAGCCUGAUGCAGCGACGCCGCGUGGGGGAUGAAGGCUUUCGGGUUGUAAACCUCUUUCGCUAUCGAAGGGGUAGGUGGAGAAGAAGCGCCGGCUAACUACGUGCCAGCAGCCGCGGUAAUUC
Molecule: ribosomal RNA, 408 nt
Filed under: uncultured bacterium
Lineage: Bacteria
Description: partial 16S ribosomal RNA
Rfam family: Bacterial small subunit ribosomal RNA
Source: RNAcentral